UGUGAUUUGUAUGUGGUGUCUGUACUGGC
Molecule: non-coding RNA, 29 nt
Filed under: Mus musculus (house mouse)
Lineage: Eukaryota; Metazoa; Chordata; Mammalia; Rodentia; Muridae
Source: RNAcentral